RNAcentral lists this transfer RNA (80 nucleotides) under Cephalotrichum gorgonifer. RNAcentral's name for it is "transfer RNA-Val(TAC)". It matches the Rfam family "tRNA". From Rfam's summary of the family: Transfer RNA (tRNA) molecules are approximately 80 nucleotides in length. The record is from RNAcentral. Lineage: Eukaryota; Fungi; Ascomycota; Sordariomycetes; Microascales; Microascaceae.
GGUCGUGUGGCCCAGUGGUUAAGGCAUGUGCUUUACAAGCAGUUCGCACAGGAUCGCAGGUUCGAUCCCUGCCACGAUCA